This 254-nucleotide ribosomal RNA is filed under the name Salmonella enterica subsp. enterica serovar Bareilly. Its description in RNAcentral is "partial 23S ribosomal RNA". It matches the Rfam family "Bacterial large subunit ribosomal RNA", at positions 959 to 1212 of the family's 2925-position model. Lineage: Bacteria; Pseudomonadati; Pseudomonadota; Gammaproteobacteria; Enterobacterales; Enterobacteriaceae. The record is from RNAcentral.
AAUACCGGAGAAUGUUAUCACGGGAGACACACGGCGGGUGCUAACGUCCGUCGUGAAGAGGGAAACAACCCAGACCGCCAGCUAAGGUCCCAAAGUCAUGGUUAAGUGGGAAACGAUGUGGGAAGGCCCAGACAGCCAGGAUGUUGGCUUAGAAGCAGCCAUCAUUUAAAGAAAGCGUAAUAGCUCACUGGUCGAGUCGGCCUGCGCGGAAGAUGUAACGGGGCUAAACCAUGCACCGAAGCUGCGGCAGCGAC